CCCUUCCCCUCUCUCUUGGUUUCCCACUAACGCGUAUGUGCCCCCCUCCCCUCUCUCCCCUCUCUCUUCCCCCCCGCAGACUCCCCUAGCCCCCCUUUUUUUAUUCGGCUAACACAUCUUAUAAAAAUAUAAAAAAAAAAAAAAAAUAUCACAACUUUUGAAAAGUAGGUGUGAUAUAAUUUUAUAAUUUUUUUUUCAUUUCAUUCAUUAUUGUGUUUUUUGUUUUUUAUUUAUUUUUUAAUAUUUUGGUUAAAAACUCGAGAGCCAUGAUAUCCACAAGAUCCGCGAAGCACAGCAAAACGUAAUAUAUAGAGACCUCAUCCCCAAAACCCUAGUCAGUCGCCCACGCCCAUUCACUAAAACACUUGUCGUCUCUUCCGCGCAAAUGGCAAUCGCCAAAGCUAGGGUCAUCACCACCGUCACCUUCACUAGCAGUCUACGGCCGCACGUCUUCCCUCUCUGCCCUCGUCCGCAAACGCCUAUUGUCGUCUUCCCCUGCUGCCACUAUGAGCACUGUCUAAUCUUCAGGGCUCAGCCGGCGGCGAGGGGGCUACUGGGCAGCAGAUGAUCGAUUGUUACAUUCAAACCCCCGCGAAAGUCGUCGGAAGAUGAGUGUUCUCUGCUUUCUGUUUCGUAUUUGAGAAAUUGUGCGAAAGGAAUUGAUCCGUCCUUUCGAUGAACGCCUUCAAGGUGCAUGAAAGUUGAGUUCCGUGGCCUAGUGGCUCUAUAGAUCGGCUGGUGUUCUGUUUGCGCCUCCUGAUUCAUACUUUGAUUUUGGGUAUAAAGACUCUGGGGGUUGAGAAUUCUUAUGCAUUAGGUUGGCUUGGUUAUUUUGCCAACUAGUUACCAAAAUCACCUUUGGAGUAGGAUGCCAUAUGCAGUGUGUUACAGUCCCACUACAAAUGAAAAAAUAACUUAUUGGCCUUGGAGUGCUUUGAAUCAAUUUUUGUAAGAAUAUUAUGGGCCUGUGGGCCUUGUAUAAAGAACAGUCGAUAUUUUGUAUGUAGUAGAACCAUUGACAGUGAAAGUGAAAUAAAAGUAGCUCCAUUUAUUUACUA
Molecule: long non-coding RNA, 1058 nt
Organism: Malania oleifera
Lineage: Eukaryota; Viridiplantae; Streptophyta; Magnoliopsida; Santalales; Ximeniaceae
Exons: 3
Source: RefSeq, a predicted model, not a curated record